GGGGUAAAUAAUGGAGAAGUUACUCGAGGAUCUGAUAAUAACAAAUUAAAAUUCUACGGAAUAUUAUAGGCAAAGAAGGUAAAGGCUAAUCCGAAACUUAGGAAACAGUGUGAAAUAAUAAUGAUUUAGAAUAUUUUGUGGACGUGUGUAGAGAAAUUAGGUCGGAUAUCGAAAACUGUCCGUCAAGAUGCAAUUUACCGUUUUGUUAGCGAUCGAGCAGAUUGGUGGGAAGCUGGAGGACGGUCAGAUUGAAAUGUUUCUCUCGUAAUCGAUUGGUCUCUAAAACUCGUUCACCAACUCGAAGCAUGAAUCCAUCUGUGUCACGGACAAUUUCCUUGUUUUCCUUGUCAUAAAACAGUCGCUCAGAAAUUUUUCUCUUCCUCGUAUCCCAUUUUCAUGAGGCCUCGCGGCGACGUACAGGGUCGUAAUCGUGCAUAAAUCUAUAUACACUUGUGUGCUUGUAGUGAAAUCAAGAACGUUUCGCAUAUAUUCCGUUUUCCACGUUUUAAAUAAAGUAAUAUUAAAGCGGAGUUUUUAUUUUGUUCGAGCGUUUUAUCAUUCGUGGAUUUUUGCUUUUGAAAUUUUUCUUUCAAAAACGAUAUUUACUUUUUCUUUUUUUUUCCUUUUAUCGCAGAUGCGUCGUUAAUUAUUAUUUUAUUUAUUUAUUUAAAUAUGAUUCAAAUACUUCGUUAAAUGAGCUGCUAAUCGAUGCCACGUAGAAUCUCAAUUUGAAAAGAAAAAAUAAAAAGUUCGGUCACGGUAUGGUAUCCUGUAAUUAACCGGUAUAAAUAAUGCGCUUAAUUGAAGAUGCUUGAAUUUCAAAUUAACUCCAGGCAGUGACUGAAUUUCUAUUUAACUUAUUUCUUCAAACGAGUCGACAAUUUUUGUUUGUUUACGGAAUUCUAGUUAAAAUUUUUGUUGAAAAAAAAAUAAACGAAAUAUAUGCAACCUCGAAAAAGUUUCGACAAAACGGGAAUUUAAAAUAAAAUCGAAUGCUUUUCUAUUCGAAUCGAUAAAUGGAAUUGCAAAAAAUGGGAAAUUCGAUAAAAUAAUUUGCCUUUUACAAAACUUUCGAAUAAUUAUCAACGCUUUAUUUCGUUUCAUUUAAAAAAAUUACUUCAAUUUAUCAUUGUUCGAUAGACAAGAACUAUAAAAUUCAAAAAUUUUCAAUUCUUCCCUAUUGUAAAUUAUUACAAUAAUUUACACGAUAUGUUCCUUCAAUCAGCUCUUGUCUCUCAUCCUAUUUACACUUGUUAUCAAUUAAAGGCUUAAUAGCCCGCGAUUUUCCCAAUUUUCACAUUCAUUUGAUCUUGUUUCCUUUCUCCAAGGAAAAACAAGGCUUUGAGACUUUGUUUUCACUUUCAGUGUUUCGCAAGAGUUACGCGACGAAAGAUGAACUGGAGUUUCGAUGAAUAGAUUUCCCUUUUCACGGGGACAGUUUCUUUUCUCCAUUUCUCGAACAUCAAUAAUUCACUACAUCAAUAAUUCUUUGCGAAUGUUUCUGUUGCGCAAUGGAUCUUAACCAACUUAGCGCGCGAUAAAAAUCUUCCUCGACUGCCGCAAAUUCGUGCGUUCUGACUCAUUUCCGUGCACGUGCGUUCCGCGCACGAUUGUUUCCCGUUUCGUUUGUAGAACAUUCCCAAACUUGAGAUAUUUGCGCAAUUGUGGGUAUCUUGUAAUUAAUUUGGAUCGAUGUUGGGCGUGUGCAUAGUUUACAUUUAAGAAUCGCAAGGCUAUUCGUGUUCUAUUCAAUAUUUAAUCGCAGUAUUUUUUUUCGUGUUUUAUUAUCGGUAUAUAAUUCGUAUAAAUUUUAAUCUUUUGUUUUUUUUUAUAUUUCUGUCAAUUUUGGAAAUUGUUCCAAAAGGGCUUUCGAAUAGUCAUUUUUUGUGGUGUCAUCAAAUUUAAUUAUCGUUAAGUUUUUAUUCAUAAAAUAGGGAAAUAUUGUAAAUAAAAUGCAUAUUUCGAUUUAGAUUUUUAGUAUCACAAGUAGUAGAUAUGCAAAUAUAUAUUCAUUAAAUGUAUUUUCAAGUUACGAUCUGGAUUUUGAAAAUAUUUUUCACAACUUUUGGUUGCUUCGAAGGCUACUGUGUUACAGAUAUACAAACAACACUGUUUUAGUAUUAAUAUAUAAAAUUGCUUUUGUUUGCUCUCACAUAUGUAUUUUUCCGAAAUGUCCAAAUAAAGUUUCGUUCAACUGAUUUUAUGUCCUGAUAUUAAACGAGAAAUAUAAAAUCACUGAACGAAAAACAAUUAAAAAAGUUCAUCAGUUACAAAAUUACAUUUUAUGGCAAGAAAUUUUUAAAUUUUUAAAUAUUAAAAUCAACAACAAAUCCACUCAUCUGAUCCCGUUCCAUCAAUUAUAAUACAAAAAAAAUCUCGCUACAGUAAAUUUCAAAAAAGGAAGAAAACAGAGCCUAGCCAUAAUCCAUACCAUAGAUCUAGCAACGCUGACUAACUGGUCAAACCUCUCCUCUCCGUAUGCACUAUCUAUGCAUGCAAGCCGUAGCAAUAAAUAAUCGGUCUUUGUUGAAAACACCGGCCCGUCCUCGAAUUUUUCCACGAUGGAACACCACCUCACAAAGCCCCUUUUCGGAUCCUAUCUCGUUCGAUGCACGAGCCUCGUUCUGACUCAUUCUGACGCUCGAUGCAAACUCUUCUUCUUUUUUUUUUUCCACGAUGCAACUGCCAACCAACACGUGCAAUCAUGUUUCACAUAGACACGUGUAUAAACACGUUUACAACCGGUUGGCGAAUUACGAGCUGGAAACGCAUCUCCCUCCCCCUUUGGUGCUUGAAAAUAUCCGCGAUGCUCGUCGAGUGGAUCUCCCUCGGCGCCAUCCUGGCCAAAACGAGCACCCUCGUUUCCGAAUAUCAGACGUUUUACAGAAACUCUUCUCAUCCCGCGAGAAAGUUUCACCCAGAGAGAAACGAUGAUACGACGAGAGGUUAUAUUUUUCAGACUUUUCUUUCGUCAUGGGCAGAGUUUUGAAGAAAUCAAACUCUUUCUUUUGUGAAAUGUUGAAUUUUUGGAUUAGAUAUUCAAAGUGCAUAUAUUACAAAAUCAAUUAGAGAAAAACAAUCUGAUUCUUAAUACUCGACACAAGUAGUACAAUUUGUAUCGAUAUUGCCAAUAUCACUUUAAAUCCUCGAAACGGAUUUAUUCGUUGGAUUAAUAUAAUGGUAUUAAAGAUUCAAAUAUCGAGGAAAGAAUCUCUGUAUUAUUACCACGAUUUUCCCCCCCUUAUUUGCAUCGAAAGUACGAAAAUCGCUCACCGAACGAAAACGAUUUGUCGUUCAUCGAGAUGUACAAGCGCCAGACGGAAAUAAUGAACUCGUGCGUAAUAACGUAACGGCAGCUUCCUGCCAAUAACACGGACUUUUAUUGCGCGGUCCAACGAGCCAAUGGUGAUCGUAAAUCGUGCUGGUAUCGUGACAAUAAAAUCCAAAGGAUGACGCGUGUUUCGAGUCGAUCCACGUAAUAAACGCGUGGAAACAGGAUUCGUUUGCCAAAGCAUUUUCACUCGACAAUUUUCUUCUCUCUUGCUCCUUCUUCCCUUUCUUAACCGUGUGUCAUCAGUUUCCACGAGUUGGCGGUGGCGACAAGUAUGAGCUCGUGUAAAUAGAAUCUCCUCCAGAGGCGUUUAUGUCGUGCAUUAAAGAGGCGUGUGGUCGACGAUGACUGAUGACGACUUCGAGAGAAUCGUGAAGAGGAUUUAAGGCAAUUUGUGGUUGUCGAAUGGUGGGCAGUGGUUUUUAUUUUGAAGUUUUAGGUUGGAGGGAUUGUUUGAUAAUCGAUUAUCGAUAUUCUUGAUUCGAUUAUGAUGCUCGUUGGAAAAAUAUGGAUUAAUGAUUCAAGGUUGGAUGAAUUGAGGGAUGUUUGGUGAUCGACAAUCUUGAUCAUUGACGUGAUUUAAGAAUCGUUUGACGAAGUUUUAUUGCGUAAGAUGAAUCGACGAAUAUUGGACAUAGUUUGGUCGACGAUUUAGAGCUUGGAGAAUAUCGAUGAUUUCCAUGUGAUUAUAAUGAAUGAUGGAAGAAGAUAAAUGGGUGUUUUUUAAUUAUCGUGCUUAUGAUAAAUGUCAGAAAUAUACACGAGUGAAGGAUGAUGAUCUGGGAAAUGUUGUUCAAAGUUUAACUUGAGCGAAGUUUAAUAAUUGAUAGAUCAUCGUAAAUGAUUGAGAGUGAACAACAGAAGUGAUGUUAGUGAUUGAUCAUUUGAGGAAAUCUGUUUAGUGAUUAAUUUAGCGUAUAACAAUAAUUAUAUUCGAUGAAGAACAAAUGUGACAAGAUUUGAUUAAAUUUGAGAGAAGUUUGAUGAUUAAUGGACGAUUAUCGUCGAUCAAUAUUAAGAGAAAAGAGAUACACGUAGAAAUUAUCGAACAAAUAAUUUGAUCGUGCAAAUAUCAAUGAUUUUUGACGAAAGUUUUGUAUUGUAACUAAUAUUUCAUGAAUGUAAUUGAAAAAUUAAUUAACUCGACUAAAACUUUUCUGGAUCAUUUCCAAUCGAACGAUAGGAAUUCAAGAUUAAAGAGAAAAAAAAGGAAAGUUUCUACAAGUUGGAAAAAUUACAUCCUUCCUUUCUAGGAAUGUUCGACAUAAUAUUCUUUAGUAGUAAAAACCGAUACAUAGCGAGACGAAGUCAUAACGCGAAUUAAAAUUACCCUCGACAAAAGUUGGCAUGGAAAAGUUUCUAAGCUGGAGGCUCUUCUCAAAACUUUUCUCAACAUUCUAGGAAAAAAAUAAAAAAUAAAAAAAAAAGAGAGAGAAAAACACUUUUAAACAGGAUUUCACGGUUUCGUUGCCCAAGGGUAUUCAUCGUAACACCGAUAGCGUUUGACGUUCUACUGAGAUGAAAUUUUGCAUUACGUAUUAAGUGUGUGCAGAAGAUGAGAAGCUUUAAUAGAAUAGAUAAUAUCUGUAAGGAGGAUAUUGGUGGUGGAAAUUUCCUCUCGCAUCCAUCGUUGCAGCGAGAUUACGAGGGUGGUGUCGCGUUUAACAUCAUCGGAUAUAUAAUAGAGAAUCGAUAAGGAAAGAUGAUACUUCGAUGUAAUUGAACAAUUCUGAUGUGUUUCUGGCUUUUCUGGCUUUCGUAUAAGAAUUACGUCCGAAAUAUCUUUCCAAACUACGUCAUUAUAAAAAUCAUUUAGCCCUCAUCUCGAUUAACGUGUAAUCGAUGCAAGGCUAUUUAUCUUCUUUAAUAUUUAUCGAUGCCAAGUGAGGAGAACGUAAUAGGUUGGUGAUGUUGGAAGGAUGUCAUCCUGAAUAUGGAGAAGCUGCGAUCGGCCUUGAAGGGAAUAUAAUCGGUGGCCGUUAAGGGGAGGAAGGAAUCGAAGUAGUCAGGAGGAGGAGGAGGAGGACCAAUUGCGCUUUAGCAUUCCGGCUGGCAAAGGGAAUUUGCACGGAAAUUGAAUUGCAUAAUGAAGACGGACAGACGUUCGCGACAAUAGCGACGAAUAGCGAGCGAUUCAAUUUCCAAGUUGCUACGUAUGGAGAACUUGGUGGAGCGCUUCAAAAGCGACAACUUUCUCUGGCCAUAAAACCGUGAAAGUCUAAACUCGUCCCUAAUAUCCAUAGUCGUUCAGUUUCUCUUCUGGAAUAGUCAAAAAUAAUUGCCUCUGGUGUAGUAGUAGUAGUAGGAUUUUUAAUAUGGACUACUAGAAAAAAAACUAUGCUAUUCGUAAAAUUUCAAUUAUAGUAAUUUUUCUAAAAUUUGUAAUUUUGUAAAUAGGAAUGGGGGAAGAAAAUGUACGAACAAGUUUCAUAGAUGGAGUAUGUACUUAACUUAUUUCAUAUGAUUCAAAUGAGCCGAUCUCGUUGCGCAGGGGUGAGCGUUAAACCAAUCCCUCGACGACGAACGAAAACUCAAUUGCGAAAGAAAUAUAAGUAAGCGAUUAAUAUAAGCAGUUUCGUUGAAAUUGGACGCAAUUUCGCCAAAAACUUCUCUUAAAAAGUUAUAUCCCAUCCAACAAGGCAAAAUUUUUGCACCUCAUCAAAUCCGGAUGAUACACAUUCUUAUAAAAAUUCCUCCUCUUCUUCAAGUAUCUCGUUGAACGCGGAAUUUUCGCGAAAAUAAUCCAACGAGGGAAAAUUUUUGCGUCUCCAGAAAAUAUCCGGAUGAUAUACAGCACACACAUCGAUACAUAAAAUUCUUCUCUUCUCUUAGAAGAAGAAGAAGUUCUCUUUCGCUGAAUUUUCGCGAAAAAUGAUUCCGGGUAUAACGGUGUGACCCUCACCGUCAGCAAAGCGUCAUAAAUUAACGAGACGGCCUUAAAACACGGACGACACACGUCCGAACGUUAAUUAUCGAAGGAGAAGGAAGGAGAAACCUCGGGUUGACGAGCUCCACUUUCACGAUGCUCCAUCGUAGUUAGAGGGUAAUUACUGGUGGCACGGUUCGGUGAACGAAAAAAUCAUCGGGUUCUUUACCCUCGCCGACCCGUUUCUUAUCAUGGAUUGAUGCUUUUGAACGCUUUUAAUCAAACACACGUUGAUAGACGCGUAUCAAUCUCGAGACGCUUUAAUGGUAGGAAACGGGAACAACCUGGUUUUUAACCAACAUACAUUGUGUGUGUAUUAUAUAUCGUGAGUAUAAUUUGGAUUUCGAGCUUCUGUUUUCCUCUUCCUUUCAUUACUUUAUUAUUCGUUAAUUAUAUUUUAUAUAAGAUUUAAUCAAAUCAAUUCGAUCAAAGGGUAAUUUGUGUAAGUUAUGUAAUUUGUUUCUUCUUUUAAUUCCUAGAGAAGGAUGGAAGAGGAUUUUUUUAUAUAUGUUUCUUUAAUCUCUUUCUUUCUUUUUUUAGAUAUGAUUUGUUUAAGAAGAUUGUUAAGAAUGUAUUUGUAACGGUGGAGUGUUAGAAUUUAUAUAUAUAUUUUUUAUUCGUUUGGAAUACUCUUCGACGCAUAAAUUAUUCUUCGAUUUAAAGUUAUGGUCGUCAAUAUUUAUAAUAAAAUAUAAUAAAUAGGGAAUAAUGGAAUCAUGAUUAAAAAGUAAGUAAACCAACGACAGGAAUAUUUGCUACAUCCGUUAUGUUAUGGAUACGUGCGUUAAGUAAUUAACCUAUUAAGCUGAGAAAACAUUUAUUCGUACAUCUGAAGAAUGAUGUCCAUAAGAAAGUAUUUUUAUUAGAUAUUAGAGAGAGAGAGAGAGAGAGAGAAAAACUCAGAGAUUGAUGGAAAGGAUUGAACGGUAAAUUGGUAAAAAAUUAUAUAUUAACCUUAAAAUGACCAUUUGUUCUCUGAUGCACGUACAAUCCCCCCCCUCCGUCUUUUGAUUCGAAUUUACUGAACUCUGACCACAGAGUUGUACCAAACGUGAUCAUUUCACGGUUAAACUAAACGUUAAAUCAUACCUCGUGCUGAGGUAAUCAUUCGUGUAUCUAAUUCCAGAGUAAUCACGCGUUUUUCGCAUACUUAUUCACGCUUGACUUUCCACACUGAUUGUUCUACAAUUUGUCGUACGUUUGAACGCUCGAAAGAUUUUAAUUUUUUUUAAUCUGAGAAUCGUAAUAUUAAAAUUACGGUCUAGUAAUAGAAUUUAGAAAGCAGAAAGAAGUAACGAAUAAUUGUAUAAAUAAAUAAACGUAUAAAUGGAAUAAUUAUCUUGGAUUCUAGUAGUUAAGUGGCGCUAGUAUCGCGUCGCUGAUCAAUCCACAAUUUUCAUUAUAAAAAAUAUUCGAACAAUCGAAUUAUAAAUCAUUAAUCUGGAGAUUUUGAUUCUAUUGGAAUAAUCAAUUUUAUCAAUGAUCUAAUAUCAUUGAUCAUAUUAUCCUUCAAGUUUCAUCAAAGUUAAUCAUCGCAGUAAAAAGAUUUUUCAUUUAUUUUAUUAUAAAAUAUUAACAAAAAAUACACGAUUUAAAAUAUAUUAAAAAUAGAUUUCAAUUAGCAUCCCACCGAUAAGGAGAAGGAUUAAUCCGAUUUCAAAUUCAGAAUAACACUUGUCCAUCUCUAGAAAUUCCAUUUUAUCUCGUGAUAGAGAGAGGAAAGAUCGAUCGAUACGUUCCAAUACGUUUUCAUCGAGAUUCAUCAAUCGGUAAAAGGAGACCGCUUAAUUGACACUUUCCUCGUGUAUACACAUGGAAAUGGUUGGAUCGAAUUAAUUUCACGGUACAACGAAAAUGGAAACUCCGGAGAUUCCAUUGUUCCACGGUUCCAGAAUUCGUCAUUUCUCUGGAAAUUCGAACUUAACUUAUUCCACUCUGUCCUGAAGAAAAUCUCUCUGAAAAUAUGAGAUAGAACGAACAAAUUAUUCGAAUGAUGAUCAAUCUAAUUUCACAUCGUGCACAUAUUAAUAAAUUAAAUAUGAUAUCUUAUCAUUAUUGAUUGAGAAAAAAAUCUACAAUUCUAAAAUCUAUAAUUCUACAAUUGAAGAAUGAAAGAGAAUCCAAGAACAAGUCGAAGAAGUUAGUCAGGUUAAGGAAUAAGAAGAGGAGGAUGAUGUUGUCGUGAAUCGUUUUCCAUCGAUUCGUAGCACGACCAUGGAAUGAUCAAUCAUAAAUCCAGUCACGUAGUGUGGUGUAAUGAUCGUAGGGACAAUCGCCGGAAGAAGCAUGUUUGUAUCACUUUGUCGCUUUUGUAACAGUGUUAUUCUAAAGAGUUACGUAUUAUGUCACUUGUAGUCUCAUCCAUUGUUACCAAAGUUACGAGGAUAUCUCGUGGAAACUGGAAAAACGUUGAUAUCUCGCAGAUAUCUCGAAACUUGGAAUUAUUUCCACGAUUUUUAUUUACUUUUGGCAACCAUUUUCGUACGAAUCGUUGACUCUUUUACUUUUAUUUUCGCAAUUAUUUCUACAGUAAUUAAAAAUGACGCUUAGCACUGUAGUAUUAUAUAUUUUUUUUUUAAAUUUGUAGCUUUACAAUAGCGAUAUAGACACUUUAAUUUCAAUCUUUUUCAGGAAAAUUUCAUCCCAGGAUCUCUUCAAAUGGAUUUUUACUUUUUUCAGAUCGCAACUUUCUAAAUAUUUAAUUGGACAACGAUUGUACAAGGAAAAAGUUUAAUUAUAAUAUAAAUUCUAUUCUAAUUGAAUAUACUUUCCAUUAUAAUUUCUAUCGAGAAUACAUAUGAAUUUAUUCUCAACUUGAAUAUUUAGAUCAAUAUUUAGACAUUGGAUUAAUUAAAGAGAUCAAAAGAUUGUAAAAAGAUUUAAAGAUAUACAAAAAUAUAAAUAUUCCAUGAUAAAUUCUAUAUUCCAUAAAUACAAUGUAUCUUCUCAAUAAAUUCUUGUUAAACAUUUCUUUAACUCAUAAAUUGAAUGGUUAAAUAACUCAUCGCUUCAUCGCUGUAUCAUAUAUAUUGUUAAAAAAAUUUCAGUAUAAAAUGAAAAUAGACAAAUCCUCCUACUCAUAAAUAGUCGUAUAUUUUCUAGCUCGUUAUUCAAAAACGGCAAAUCGAUCGUCCCGAAAUUUUCGUCGAAAUCGUUCGCUCGACUCAUUUGAGGGCUCUCUUUCCGCGUGGAAAAACGUGGAAGAACGCGUGUGCAUAUUCUGGUUAUGAAUAGGCGAUGGAGAGGGUCGAAGAGGAUGAGCCCUCGUGCGCGUGAACGCGUUCGAAUUAUGCAGAUUAAAUGGAAUUAUUUUCCUCGUUUCGUGGCUUGAAAGGCGGGAUUGAAAAACGGUAGCGAAAUGAUAGAGAACUUUUCAGUCGAUGGCCACGCUUGCACACCUUUUAGAAGAUUAUCUCUUCUUUUGGACGGGUCAGUCACUCUUCGAGAUAUAAAAAUAUGUCGAAUUGAAUUGAUAUUGGAUGAAGAUUUCAAUAUAUUGAAAGAAUAUAUUUCUAAAAUUAAUUCUCUGUAAUCUUAUUAUACGUAGAAGAUUAUCUCUCCUCUUCGAGACGAGUUACUCUAUUUAGAUGAAUCGCAAUAUCGAGUAUAUUCUGAAAUUAAUUCUCUAGAAUCGUAAGAUAUACAAUCCACAAUUUAUCGAUUCGCUGAUUGAUCGAUGAGGGAAAUCUUAUGAAUAGUACUUUUGUAUCUCGUCAUUUCCUCUCCCCACGAUCCAAUUAAAGAAAAAGAUUAACUCCUCGCGAACUUCAAUCUCCUCGAGCGACAAAAGCGCCACCCACGGAAAAUAAACACUAAAAUCUAAUAUCUGGUAAUACCGCUUUUAUUCGUCUCACUCUUCUCUCAAGCCUCUCCACUCUUACAAUCUAUUAUCCGUGAAAGAGACCUGGCCAACUUUUAUCCGCGGCUUCCUCUUCGACAAGCCACCGGAAGUGCCUCGAGAAUUCCAACGACGAAUUGCAACAACGGCCACGUACACACACACACACACACCUGUUCAAGUGUAAAUACGUAAAAGUGCAAAUGUCAAAAAGAAUUGUACGUGUGCGCGUAUUAUUCAAACGAUCUUCGCGAAGAUUAAAUGCGACGAUCCCAUUUCUCUCUUUCUCCCUCGGCUGCCGAAAGUGACGCUUUUCCCCCUAUUUUCAUUCGCAUCUGGAAGAGCUGACGAACUGCAAUUUGCAUUGUGACGGAUGAAAGUGUGCCCGCGCGCUCACGCAAGCGGAAGUUGGCCGACGUUGCGGAGGAAAUGAAACUCUCGCCGAUUAAGAGAGUGUUUUUCACGGUCCUUCAUUUUUUCCUUGAUUCUUGUUACAUUUUUUUUUUCUUACUGGGUCAAGCUUCGAUGGACGAGUGAAUAUAAGAUUGUUAAUAUUUUUAAUAUCUGUUUAACGUAAUUUCUUUAUCGUGGUUUUUAAUUUUUGGUUUUUAUUCAUUGCAAUAUUUUUUUAUCUUUUCUCUCCUUUCUUGAUUUGAUAUAUUCACCACGCGACGAAAAUUUUAUUAUUCGUAUCAUGUAAUAUUUUCUAUUUUUAUCUUAAAGUAAAUAUAGAGAAUUUUUUAAAACGGGAAAUUCCAGAAAUCUAAACAAUUGUCUUGAAUUUUUUUGAAGCAAAAGGAAAGAAAGAAAAUAGUUAAAAUUUUUUUUCUAAAGUUAAAAGCAUUUAAAUUUUUGUAAAGGUCGUUAAAAAUUUUGCGAUAUAAAAAAUUGAACGAAAAUACAUCAAUUUCAAAUACAUUUAUAUGAAAAUUCGCUCAACAAUCGCUGUAAUCAAAAUAUCGAUCGAGCGUAUCGACCUCGGGCAAAACAAAAGCGUUCUAAGCCGUCUAUCGAUUUUCCAACUUUCAAAGUCAGUCUUACGUAGAUCUUCGUAGCGUGUGGUUGCGUUUCAAUCAAACCAGUUAUUGCGUGUGUGAAAAUACUGUGAAUCAUACGUAGGGGGCGUAUGACUCAGCGUGAAACAAGUUAACAAGAACAGAAGAGUUCUGAUUUCUUGAAAUUAAACAAUCAGUGUGUGUGUGUGUGUGCGCGUGCAUUUUCGUAUGACGAAUUGUGAAUAAUCAAAUUUGAUAAAUAGUUGACGCAGUUUAAUAGUUCGGGUUUUUAAAUUUCUUAUUUCUUUUUGUUUAUUUAUUUAUUAUUAUUUUAUCAAUUUAAAUAGAAUUGGAUAAAUUAAAUUCCGUAAAAGAUUUUUUUGAAUUAUUAAUUAUUAGUAGAUUCGUUUCGUUUUCAUUUUUCUUUUUUUUUUUUUAUUUCAAAAUAUACAUGGUGGGCGAUUAGUAUUGAUAUUGAAUUUAUUUUUUUCACGAAGAUAUAUAGGAAUUAUAAAAUUCGAUACGAGCUUAAGGGAUUAAAAACUCUCUGUAUCAUCCGAUCAAAUUUAAUUUAUAACAAAGUUAUUAAGGUAUUCAAAAUAUGUUAUCUUUCCUCCUUUGUUCCGUGCCUUUUCAUAUGCUCUAUAUAAAGUUAAUCCUUAAUUAGAAUGACCCGAAUAAACAUAGAUAUAUAGAGUGUCCCACGCAACUGAACCAUAAAACAUGCGAAGAUAAAAAAAAAAGGAUUUCACGAGGGAAAAAUUUCUAAAAUCUCGACGACGAGGAAAAUUUAUUGAAAAACUGAUAUAGAUUUUUUUCAUAUAUUCUAUCUAUUACCUUUAAGAAAAUAAAUGACAAAUCAGGAUUAAAAGGAAUCAAUGCGAAUAAAAAUAUUUGUUUAUUAUUGUCUAUGUUCCAAAAAUCUAUUUUCCCUGGCCCUGUUUUAAUCAUGAAAGUUAGAAAAGACAUUCCAUGUAUAUAUAUAUGCAUAUCGAUGUGAAUAAUGAGUAAAACUGUUUUAGAAACUCGUUAACGAUAAUUCAUCUUCCAACAAAACUUAUCAACGAGCAGAACUUCGUAUCGCAAACUCUGUCGUAAAUACAACUUCAAAUACGAUGAUCCAAUAGUUCAUUUGAUAACCAGACUACGGAUUUGCAAAUAUAUAUUUUGCAUAUCGAAUAUGUUUUUUAUAUUUAACAAAUAUAUCAAAGGUCUGAUUAUUAAAGGUCACAAUUAAUUCGUAAAAGAUGUAAAAACAUCGCAAUAGAAAUUGCAAGAGAAAUUUAAAUAUAUUCCGAACACAUCUUCUCUAUAAAUUAAUUUUUUUUUUUCACGACAGAAAAUUGUAAAAAGAUAAAAUUCUUAUAAAAUAUUCAAAUUUCACAUUCAAUAUUAAUUUAAUACUAAUUUAUUCCGAAUAAUCCUUUUCCUUAUUUACAUUUAUAAUUCUAACGAUCGUGAUUCGACAAAUAUACACUCUGCUGUAAUUUUUCAUCGACAUUCGAUAUCCUUCUGCACACAUUUCCUCCUUUUUAUACACGAUCGAUAUUCGAAUCGUUAUCACGUUCGAGCAAAAAUAAAUUUCAUUUCGUCCUCUCUAUUUUCCCUCCCCGAAAUUUUCCUUUCCUAGUUCAUCCUCCAGUAAUUGUUUCAGAAGUCGGUACAACACGUGUCCCUCCAUUCUUUGAAACGAUAAUUGUCGGUGGCGCGUGUGAAUAAGCCCUUAACACCGUUAAGGUCCUCUCCUAGUCGUUGAAAACGCGUAUACCAGCAUUAUGAAUCGUGGUGGCUGUCGUCUUCCGGUUCCGUUAAGAUCGCUCCGAGCCGUGUUCUGGGAGACCUUUCAACCGUUAUUUGCUGGAAUAUCUCGUUAAAAUUUCCACCCUCGUGUUAAUUACCGAUGACGCGGAUUUUAAGACGCGGAAGUUUGCAGAAGUUGAACAUUCAAAACAUUUGUGGAUCUUCUCGCGAAAGUGGCAGCGAGUGAUUAAAAAUUAAUUCUAUAAUCGGUGGAAAUUUGAAAUUGUUUGUACAAACAUUUUUUCUCUAUCUAUUUUCCAUGUGCGGAAGAAUUUUUAUAAAAUUGGAAUCGUAAUGAUACAUAAGUUUAUGAAUUGGUUUCUUUGUUAACAAUAUGCUUUUAAUUGUUGCAGUACAACACGCGAUUAAUUCUGUCAUUUCAUUGACGUAAAUCAAUGUUUUCUAUUCGUCGGAUUAGCUUAGUCACGUUCUGAAAAAUUCGAAAGUCCAAACACAUGGACGCACAAUAGAUGGAUGCAAUAGUAGAAUGAAAUACUUCAUUAGUCGGGAGAAAGCGCAAAUAUCAAAUUCUAAACAAAAAUUUUCACAUGCAUAUAGGAGUUCAAUAAGAUCAAUAAAAUAAUUCACAAAUCCAACGAUUUUACAUUCUAUAAUUAAUUAUACAUAUUAAUUAUAAAUUCGUAUUUGGAAUAGGGUAAAAGUAUCUAGAAUCCACCUUUUUUUCUAAUAUUUCCAAUAACAAAAUACUUUACACAACAAUCUUACACUUACAUUAUCCCGACCAUAAUAACCAUAUUACCACACCAAUGAAACCAUUAACAGUUGAAUUUUGACGUCCACACGUUCCAUUACCUUCCAGAUAGAUUAAAGGCUUCGAAAGUUCAGAAAUCGACGUUUAACCUCUCUCUCCUUCCCUUCCUCUCCCCCCUCUCUCGUCUCGAAUUCUUGGCCAACCCUCGAUACAAACGUUUUACACGUUUUCGCACUCGGCGUCCGAAAAAUUCGGGCUGAAACGCUUCCUUCAUAUCGACACGGCGAUCGGCGGCAAGGAGCAAUUUCAGAGAUCCCAUUUAACCUCUUGACGUUCACCAAGAAGCACCCGCUACCCAGUUUCGUUGGAACAAGUUCUCCAAAGUUUGGCAUAAGUUUGGUGGAAAUUGGGGGAGGGUGAAAUGCGCGGAUGCGUUUGGCAGGGAUGAUCGUGGUAUGGAUGAUGCCUCGGGAUUGGAAUUUGUUUCCAUGAAAUUGGGUUUACGGUUACGGGAUAGUAAAUA
Long non-coding RNA from Apis cerana (Asiatic honeybee), 14125 nucleotides. RefSeq lists it as uncharacterized. Lineage: Eukaryota; Metazoa; Arthropoda; Insecta; Hymenoptera; Apidae. The record is from RefSeq and is a predicted model, not a curated record.